AUAACUAGUAAUCGGUGUUAAUUGGAUGCAAGCUUUUGUCAACUUUUUUGCAUAUUUCUCAUAUUGUACCAAAGCUGAGUUAAUUUCCGUAAGGACGUUUUUGAAAAUAGGCAAAACAAAAGAAGAAUGCAUGUCUUAAACGGUAGAGGAAGGAUUUUAGUAAACUUUAUUCAGAAUUUAUGCAAGAUUGUCAUCAAGGAGCGAAAGGACAACUGGAUCCUCUCCUCAGAAUACUUGUAACCGGCGUUCCCGAAAGCGAAGGUACACAAGGCAUUCCACCAAGCAUAUAAAAUGUUUUAUACAUGCAUGUUGCAACAUAUGGCGGACAGCGAGAUCGGCAAACGCAUACAGUCAACUGUGGCGGCGCAGUUUGACUUUUUCUCGCAAAAAGGUUCCUGCGGAACCGGCAGUAGGCCAAAAAACCCUUCACAAUUUCGAAAGGAAAACAAUACAUGAAACAUUAAAAAUUUGAUGCAAAGAGCGUGAUUUGCCUGUAAAAAUGGUGUUAGCGUUGUAAACAAUGAAUUGAAAAAUAUAUUUUUUUAAAUAUUUUUAUUUGAAAUAUUAUAUUAUAAUAUGCGU
This is a long non-coding RNA of Glossina fuscipes, 582 nucleotides long. RefSeq lists it as uncharacterized. NCBI's taxonomy places the organism in Eukaryota, Metazoa, Arthropoda, Insecta, Diptera, Glossinidae. The record is from RefSeq and is a predicted model, not a curated record. The transcript is spliced from 3 exons.